Molecule: long non-coding RNA, 1562 nt
Organism: Onychostoma macrolepis
Lineage: Eukaryota; Metazoa; Chordata; Actinopteri; Cypriniformes; Cyprinidae
Exons: 4
Source: RefSeq, a predicted model, not a curated record
UAAAAAAAAAGAAAGUGUAAUAACAAAUUAUAUGGCUUAUAUUCAGUACAUAUUAUACAGUAUGUUGAUUUCUUUCAUUGUUCUGAAAUGUGUUAAUAUGCGAUUCAUAAUGCAUAUAUUCUCUAGUUUUAUUACAUAUAUCUCUAGGGAAAGAGAAAAAGGAUGAAUUCCUAACCAACAGCAACAAAGCGAAGCAGAGACAAAGAUAACACUAACAGAAAGAGAAUGCAAGAGAAGAAAGUGCUGGUUGUGUGAGCGAGCGCUCCGGAGGCAGAGUGAGCGACACUGCCCUGUUCGGUGACAGCACUCGCUGUGGGGCUUCUGUCCCCUCAGACGUUCAGGGGUGAAGGAAAGAGCGGAGAGGGGAAGGGGAGGAAUCACUCCAGGGGUGGCAGCGCUAGAGGAGGGGCGGCGAGGAGCAGUCAUUCCCAUGUGGAUCAGGCCCAUCAGCACAGUCAAAUCAUAAACCGUGAAGCCUCAGAGCGUGACUCCAUCCUAGCAAUAAUCCUGAAAAAUGGGAAAAAGCCAUCAGCUCCAGACUCACAAAAAGAGGGGGGGAAAAAGCAAGUUGUUAUUUUGCCCGAAGCGCAGCUAACUGCAUCAACAAAAAAAAUGGGAGGUUGUUCUGGAUCCACAGCGGUGCCCAGACAAACAUUCAUCAGCUCCCAUUCUCCAAGGACAGGAUGAUGCACUCGAAAGCCAAUUAGGUGCAUUGAGCAGAACGUAAACCCUGAGAAAAAGUGUGUUUACACCUCACCUUUGCUCAAGCAAUGUAAAUAGUCUCAGAUACUGGCCCACACCAGCCGACCCACAUGAUGAAUCGCACCUCGCCUUCAUCUUCAGCCAUUUUUAAUGUUCAGCCGGAUCUACUGAGUGUCCCACUCUCUUUCUCUUCCCUUCCCACUGAAAUAUUGCCUUUUCCCGCGCUGUAGCUCUCCCCUCAGAAUUGAACAAAUGAAGAGUCAGCAUUCGCAGGUUAAUACAAUAUCAAAGUAUGACAAAUUGUUCAAAGGCAGUCCGGGCCGAAACACAUCUGCAUAAAAGCUGACUGGCAGCAGACCGGCGGCUUUUUGAUACUAUAUCUUCAGGCUGACAAUCCCAGUGGACUUUAAUGCAUUUUUUUGCAUAGCAUUAUCACCGUUCUUUUGACGGUUUUUUUUUCAUGCGCACAGAUGAAAUGUGGCCCAAUUAUAGAGGUUUUUGUACAAAGGGAGCAUGUAACCUAGCAUGAACUUCAGUCUGUGGUUGUGUGAUAUUUCCUGCCCUGUAGCACGGAAGUAAAGAUGCAUAAGGAAUAACGUCAUCCAUGUGACAACAUAAAAUCCCCUAUGGGUUGAAAUGUUGAUGUAUUAAAGUAGAUAGAGAAGUUAGCAUAGCUGCAGGAAAAGAGGAUCGCUAUAGGGCUUCCCUUAACUUGAUGUACAUGGUGUCAUGUGGCACAUCUAACACCAUCAUUUCUCUGGGGUUGACACACGUGUCUUAUAACUGAUUUGUCACUAAUGUGAGCAGAUGUUUUGUUUUUGAUGCCCAGAUUUUUAAAUCAAUUUUUAAAAACAGGUUUA